ACCUAGUGGGAUUGCAUUUGCAUUUAUGG
This 29-nucleotide non-coding RNA is filed under the name Cricetulus griseus (Chinese hamster). Lineage: Eukaryota; Metazoa; Chordata; Mammalia; Rodentia; Cricetidae. The record is from RNAcentral.